RNAcentral lists this ribosomal RNA (288 nucleotides) under uncultured bacterium. RNAcentral's name for it is "partial 16S ribosomal RNA". It matches the Rfam family "Bacterial small subunit ribosomal RNA", at positions 67 to 354 of the family's 1533-position model. The record is from RNAcentral.
CGGUUAAACCGCCCUCGGGCGGACAUACAGUGGCGAACGGGUGAGUAACACGUGACCAACCUGCCCCGCGCUCCGGGACAACCGCUGGAAACGGCGGCUAAUACCGGAUACUCCGCGGCCCCCGCAUGGGGGCGGCGGGAAAGCCCCGACGGCGCGGGAUGGGGUCGCGGCCCAUUAGGUAGUAGGCGGGGUAGAGGCCCACCUAGCCGACGAUGGGUAGCCGGACUGAGAGGUCGAUCGGCCACAUUGGGACUGAGAUACGGCCCAGACUCCUACGGGAGGCAGCAG